This 256-nucleotide ribosomal RNA is filed under the name uncultured bacterium. RNAcentral's name for it is "partial 16S ribosomal RNA". It matches the Rfam family "Bacterial small subunit ribosomal RNA", at positions 793 to 1055 of the family's 1533-position model. The record is from RNAcentral.
GUCCACGCCGUAAACGAUGGAUACUAGCUGUUGGGUGCAAACUCAGUGGCUAAGCGAAAGUGAUAAGUAUCCCACCUGGGGAGUACGUUCGCAAGAAUGAAACUCAAAGGAAUUGACGGGGGCCCCGCACAAGCGGUGGAGCAUGUGGUUUAAUUCGAUGAUACGCGAGGAACCUUACCAAGGCUUAAAUGUAGAUUGACAGGACUGGAAACAGUUUUUUCUUCGGACAAUUUACAAGGUGCUGCAUGGUUGUCGU